RNAcentral lists this ribosomal RNA (478 nucleotides) under uncultured bacterium. RNAcentral describes it as "bacterial SSU rRNA". It matches the Rfam family "Bacterial small subunit ribosomal RNA", at positions 30 to 507 of the family's 1533-position model. The record is from RNAcentral.
AUUGAACGCUGGCGGCAUGCCUUACACAUGCAAGUCGAACGGCAGCACGGGUGCUUGCACCUGGUGSCGAGUGGCGAACGGGUGAGUAAUACAUCGGAACGUACCUUAUCGUGGGGGAUAACGCAGCGAAAGCUGUGCUAAUACCGCAUACGCCCUGAGGGGGAAAGCGGGGGAUCGAAAGACCUCGCGCGAUUAGAGCGGCCGAUGCCUGAUUAGCUUGUUGGUGGGGUAAAAGCCUACCAAGGCGACGAUCAGUAGCUGGUCUGAGAGGACGAUCAGCCACACUGGGACUGAGACACGGCCCAGACUCCUACGGGAGGCAGCAGUGGGGAAUUUUGGACAAUGGGGGCAACCCUGAUCCAGCAAUGCCGCGUGAGUGAAGAAGGCCUUCGGGUUGUAAAGCUCUUUUGUCAGGGAAGAAACACCGGCUCUAACACAGUCCGGGAAUGACGGUACCUGAAGAAUAAGCACCUCUGUG